Molecule: transfer RNA, 80 nt
Organism: Laccaria bicolor S238N-H82
Lineage: Eukaryota; Fungi; Basidiomycota; Agaricomycetes; Agaricales; Hydnangiaceae
Rfam family: tRNA
About the family: Transfer RNA (tRNA) molecules are approximately 80 nucleotides in length. Their secondary structure includes four short double-helical elements and three loops (D, anti-codon, and T loops).
Source: Rfam
GGUGCUAUAGUGUAGUGGUUAUCACUCGGGAUUUUGAGAAUAAGCUUCCCGUAACCCAGGUUCGAACCCUGGUAGCACCU